GACCUGUGUGUUUGUCUUUUAUUUGUAACAAAGCCUUACAGACAGGUAUAAGUAGUAAAUAAAUCCUCUUUUGCAUCCCAGAACUUAUUGUUGAGUAUGAGAUUUUGGUAUAUGUGAGAAGGAAUAUG
This is a small nucleolar RNA of Perognathus longimembris pacificus (Pacific pocket mouse), 128 nucleotides long. RefSeq annotates it as small nucleolar RNA SNORA40. The record is from RefSeq and is a predicted model, not a curated record. Lineage: Eukaryota; Metazoa; Chordata; Mammalia; Rodentia; Heteromyidae. The transcript has a single exon.